This 72-nucleotide transfer RNA is filed under the name Comamonas sp. KCTC 72670. RNAcentral's name for it is "tRNA-Phe". It matches the Rfam family "tRNA". Rfam says of the family: Transfer RNA (tRNA) molecules are approximately 80 nucleotides in length. Lineage: Bacteria; Pseudomonadati; Pseudomonadota; Betaproteobacteria; Burkholderiales; Comamonadaceae. The record is from RNAcentral.
UUUGAGCUAGCUCACUGGUAGAGCACAGGUCUGAAAAUCCUGCGGAGAAGGUUCGAUUCCUUCGUUCAUCCC